This 554-nucleotide ribosomal RNA is filed under the name Fusarium sp. SPN8. Its description in RNAcentral is "eukaryotic LSU rRNA". The stretch from base 185 to 338 matches the Rfam family "5.8S ribosomal RNA". Lineage: Eukaryota; Fungi; Ascomycota; Sordariomycetes; Hypocreales; Nectriaceae. The record is from RNAcentral.
CUAAACUCUCGCUUGGUGACCAGCGGAGGGACAUUACCGAGUUUACAACUCCCAAACCCCUGGGAACAUACCAAUUGUUGCCUCGGCGGAUCAGCCCGCUCCCGGUAAAACGGGACGGCCCGCCAGAGGACCCCUAAACUCUGUUUCUAUAUGUAACUUCUGAGUAAAACCAUAAAUAAAUCAAAACUUUCAACAACGGAUCUCUUGGUUCUGGCAUCGAUGAAGAACGCAGCAAAAUGCGAUAAGUAAUGUGAAUUGCAGAAUUCAGUGAAUCAUCGAAUCUUUGAACGCACAUUGCGCCCGCCAGUAUUCUGGCGGACAUGCCUGUUCGAGCGUCAUUUCAACCCUCAAGCCCAGCUUGGUGUUGGGACUCGCGAGUCAAAUCGCGUUCCCCAAAUGGAUUGGCGGUCACGUCAAGCUUCCAUAGCGUACUAGUAAAACCCUCGUUACUGGUAAUCGUCGCGGCCACGCCGUUAAACCCCAACUUCUGAAUGUUGACCUCGGAUCACGUAGGAAUACCCGCUGAACUUAAGCAUAUCAAUAAGGCGAAGGAA